UAGGUUAAGCUACUAAGGGCACACGGAGGAUGCCUUGGCGCCAAGAGCCGAUGAAGGACGGGACGAACACCGAUAUGCUUCGGGGAGCUGUAAGUGAGCUUUGAUCCGGAGAUUUCCGAAUGGGGCAACCCACCUGCUUGAAGAGCAGGUAUCGCUAGCUGAAUCCAUAGGCUAGUGGAAGGCAUACCGGGGGAACUGAAACAUCUAAGUACCCCGAGGAAGAGAAAGAAAACUCGAUUCCCUGAGUAGCGGCGAGCGAAACGGGAUUAGCCCAAACCGAAGGACUUGUGCCUUCGGGGUUGUAGGACGUCUCACACGGAGUUACAAAGGAUGGGAAUAGGAGAACUGGUUCUGGAAAGACCGGCCAUAGCAGGUAACAGCCCUGUAUCCGAAAUUCCCAUCUCUCCGAGACGGAUCCUGAGUACUGCGGGACACGUGAAACCCCGUAGGAAUCCGGAGGGACCACCCUCCAAGGCUAAAUACUCCUUGGCGACCGAUAGUGAACCAGUACCGUGAGGGAAAGGUGAAAAGCACCCCGGAAGGGGAGUGAAAUAGAACCUGAAACCGUGUGCUUACAAUCAGUCGGAGCACCCCCAGAGGUGUGACGGCGUGCCUUUUGUAGAAUGAACCGGCGAGUAACGGUUGCGUGCGAGGUUAAGGCGAGAAGCUGGAGCCGCAGCGAAAGCGAGUCUGAAUAGGGCGCUUUAGUACGUAGCUGUUGACCCGAAACCAGGUGAUCUACCCAUGUCCAGGAUGAAGUUCCGGUAACACGGAAUGGAGGUCCGAACCCACUAGUGUUGAAAAACUAGGGGAUGAGGUGUGGGUAGCGGAGAAAUUCCAAUCGAACCUGGAGAUAGCUGGUUCUCCCCGAAAUAGCUUUAGGGCUAGCCUUGGGAGUUAAGUCAUGGAGGUAGAGCACUGAUUGGGCUAGGGGUCCUUCCCGGAUUACCGAACUCAGUCAAACUCCGAAUGCCAUGUACUUGUACCCCAGGAGUCAGACUGCGAGUGCUAAGAUCCGUAGUCAAGAGGGAAACAGCCCAGACCACCAGCUAAGGUCCCUAAAUGAUCGUUCAGUGGAAAAGGAUGUGGAGUUGCCUAGACAACCAGGAUGUUGGCUUAGAAGCAGCCACCAUUGAAAGAGUGCGUAAUAGCUCACUGGUCAAGUGACUCUGCGCCGAAAAUGUAACGGGGCUAAACGAUCUACCGAAGCUGUGGAUGGCGUCACUUACGUGACGCGAUGGUAGGGGAGCGUUCUAAGUGCAGCGAAGCUCAAGCGGAAGCGAGGGUGGAGCGCUUAGAAGUGAGAAUGCCGGUAUGAGUAGCGAAAAGAGGGGUGAGAAUCCCCUCCACCGUAAGCCUAAGGUUUCCUGAGGAAGGUUCGUCCGCUCAGGGUUAGUCGGGACCUAAGCUGAGGCCGAAAGGCGUAGGCGAUGGACAACAGGUUGAUAUUCCUGUACCACCAUGAUUCGUUUGUACGAUGGGGGGACGCAGGAGGGUAGAGAAUCGCGCGACUGGAAGUGCGCGUCCAAGCAGUGAGGCAGGGGAGAUAGGCAAAUCCGUUUCCCUAUAUGCUAGGCUGUGAUGGCGAGGGAAAUUUAUAGUACCGAAGUUCUUGAUCUCACACUGCCAAGAAAAGCCUCUAGGAGAAGAUUGGUGCCCGUACCGCAAACCGACACAGGUAGGCGAGGAGAGAAUCCUAAGGUGCUCGGGAAAACUCUCGUUAAGGAACUCGGCAAAAUGACCCCGUAACUUCGGGAGAAGGGGUGCCCCCUUAUGGGGGGCCGCAGUGAAUAGGCCCAGGCGACUGUUUAGCAAAAACACAGGUCUCUGCGAAGCCGCAAGGCGAAGUAUAGGGGCUGACGCCUGCCCGGUGCUGGAAGGUUAAGGGGAAAGGUUAGCGCAAGCGAAGCUUUGAACUGAAGCCCCAGUAAACGGCGGCCGUAACUAUAACGGUCCUAAGGUAGCGAAAUUCCUUGUCGGGUAAGUUCCGACCCGCACGAAAGGCGUAACGAUCUGGGCGCUGUCUCGACGAGAGACCCGGUGAAAUUGUAUUGCUAGUGAAGAUGCUAGCUACCCGCGACAAGACGGAAAGACCCCGUGGAGCUUUACUGUAGCCUGAUAUUGAAUCUAGAUACGACUUGUACAGGAUAGGUGGGAGUCGCUGAAGCCAGGACGCCAGUCUUGGUCGAGACAACGGUGGGAUACCACUCUGGUCGUAUCGGGGUUCUAACUCGCGCCCGUCAUCCGGGCGGAGGACCGUGUCAGGUGGACAGUUUGACUGGGGCGGUCGCCUCCUAAAAGGUAACGGAGGCGCUCCAAGGUUCCCUCAGCGCGGUUGGAAAUCGCGCCUAUAGAGUGCAAAGGCAUAAGGGAGCUUGACUGCGAGACCUACAAGUCGAGCAGGGACGAAAGUCGGACUUAGUGAUCCGGUGGUUCCGAGUGGAAGGGCCAUCGCUCAACGGAUAAAAGCUACCCCGGGGAUAACAGGCUUAUCUCCCCCAAGAGUCCACAUCGACGGGGAGGUUUGGCACCUCGAUGUCGGCUCAUCGCAUCCUGGGGCUGAAGUAGGUCCCAAGGGUUGGGCUGUUCGCCCAUUAAAGCGGUACGCGAGCUGGGUUCAGAACGUCGUGAGACAGUUCGGUCCCUAUCUGUCGUGGGCGUAGGAAAUUUGAGGAGAGCUGUCCUUAGUACGAGAGGACCGGGAUGGACAUACCCCUGGUGUACCAGUUGUCUCGCCAGAGGCAUCGCUGGGUAGCCAUGUAUGGACGGGAUAAGCGCUGAAAGCAUCUAAGCGCGAAGCCCCCUCCAAGAUGAGAUUUCCCACUGACAUAAGUCAGGUAAGACCCCUUGUAGACGACGAGGUUGAUCGGUCUGAGGUGUACGCACAGCAAUGUGUUCAGCUGACAGAUACGAAUCGGUCGAGGGCUUAUCCUA
This 2934-nucleotide ribosomal RNA is filed under the name Thermoactinomyces sp. DSM 45892. RNAcentral's name for it is "bacterial LSU rRNA". It matches the Rfam family "Bacterial large subunit ribosomal RNA". The record is from RNAcentral. Lineage: Bacteria; Bacillati; Bacillota; Bacilli; Caryophanales; Thermoactinomycetaceae.